This is a long non-coding RNA of Salvia miltiorrhiza (redroot sage), 650 nucleotides long. RefSeq lists it as uncharacterized. The record is from RefSeq and is a predicted model, not a curated record. Lineage: Eukaryota; Viridiplantae; Streptophyta; Magnoliopsida; Lamiales; Lamiaceae. The transcript has 6 exons.
AGCACCAGUCCACAAAGUUCGAAAGAAGAAGCGUCCAGCAAAACCUCAACCCCCGGGGCAGAAGCAGCCAGAAAAUGAACAAGGUCAUCUCUUAAAGUCGAAAGGAGACGUGGCAAUGAUUGCAAGCACUAGUUCGGGGGUGAGAAAGGACAAGGGGAAAGAUCCAAUGCCUAUAGAUAAGACAAUGAAGAGCCAAGAUUGUUCACCAAAGGAUGUGACUGAUGAGGGUGGUGAUAAGUCGCAGGCUGCCGACGGUGUAGGUCUGUGUGAUGGGAAGUUAUGGCGUUGUACGGACAAAGUGGGCUGAUACUACAAACUUUGAAGACAUCGGAAUUUACCUAAUGCGGCAUUUAGAAACUUUCAUGGCGAUGCUUCUUCAAGUUGGAAAUGCAUGCGUGCCAGUUCGAUUAAUAAACAACUUCGAGUUAUGCGAGUGCGAUAUUGUGCUGCAUUGGUUAAUAGGGAAAGGUAAUGAAGUUGGUGACAAUAUUGCAAAGGAGGCCUCAAUGCAUUAUACGGAGGUUUGCAUGAACUCAAAAAUGAAUGUUAACUUGUUGUUGAUUGGUUAAACAAGCAUUUAUUUAUAUUUAUAAGGUUUGAGACAUUACUAACAUUAUUUAAAUGAAUAAUUUUUACUGGUUUUUCCAUAA